RNAcentral lists this microRNA (21 nucleotides) under Physcomitrium patens. RNAcentral describes it as "ppt-miR1052". Lineage: Eukaryota; Viridiplantae; Streptophyta; Bryopsida; Funariales; Funariaceae. The record is from miRBase by way of RNAcentral.
UUCCUUUUAUUGAUUGUGGUA